GUGGGGAAUCUUGCGCAAUGGGGGAAACCCUGACGCAGCGACGCCGCGUGGAGGAUGAAGGUCUUCGGGUUGUAAACUCCUUUUCUUGGGGAAAAUGAUGAUGGUACUCAAGGAAUAAGCCACGGCUAACUCUGUGCCAGCAGCCGCGGUAAGACAGAGGUGGCGAGCGUUGUUCGGAAUUACUGGGCUUAAAGGGCGAGUAGGCGGUAGGGCAAGUCUGAGGUGGAAUCCUAUGGCUUAACCAUAGAACUGCCUUAGAAACUGCUUUACUUGAGUCAGUGAGGGGAGGGCGGAAUUCCUGGUGUAGCGGUGAAAUGCGUAGAUAUCAGGAGGAAGGCCUGUGGCGAAAGCGGCCCUCUGGCACUGUACUGACGCUGAGGCGCGAAAGCGUGGGGAGCAAACAGGAUUAGAUACCCCAGUAGUCC
RNAcentral lists this ribosomal RNA (425 nucleotides) under uncultured bacterium. RNAcentral's name for it is "bacterial SSU rRNA". It matches the Rfam family "Bacterial small subunit ribosomal RNA", at positions 354 to 796 of the family's 1533-position model. The record is from RNAcentral.